This 642-nucleotide ribosomal RNA is filed under the name Chloropicon laureae. Its description in RNAcentral is "partial Bacterial large subunit ribosomal RNA". It matches the Rfam family "Bacterial large subunit ribosomal RNA", at positions 1 to 673 of the family's 2925-position model. The record is from RNAcentral. Lineage: Eukaryota; Viridiplantae; Chlorophyta; Chloropicophyceae; Chloropicales; Chloropicaceae.
UCAAAACAUUUGGUGGAUACCUAGGCACUCAGAGAUGAUGAAGGGCGUGGGCAACUGCGAAAAGCUCCGACGAGUUGAGCACAAACGUUGACUCGGAGAUUCCCGAAUAGGGCAACCUCAUAGUACCUUUUCUUAAAUUCAUAAUAGAAAUAGGAAGUAACCUAGCGAACUGAAACAUCUUAGUAGCUAGAGGAAUAGAAAGCAAAAGCGAUUUCCAAAGUAGUGGUGAGCGAAAUGGAAACAGCCUAAACCAAUAAAAAUUUAUUGGGGUCGUGGGAAAAACUGAAAAAAGGACAAAAUAAGGAAUUAGUGAAACAAUUGAAUGUUGUACCGUAGACGGUGAAAGUCCAGUAGCUUAACUUAAAAAUCCUUUGGUUUUAUCCCGAGUAGCAUGGGACCCGUGAAAUCCCGUGUGAAUCCACGAGGACCACCUCGUAAGGCUAAAUAUUCCUGAGUGACCGAUAGCGUAUAAGUACCGCGAGGGAAAGGUGAAAAGAACCCCAGUAGGGGAGUGAAAUAGAACAUGAAACCAAUUGCUGACAAUCAGUGGGAAGGGUUUUACCCUGACCGCGUACCUGUUGAAGAAUGGGCCGGCGAGUUAUAUGUAGUGGCAGGGUAAAAAAGAUCUUUUAAGCCUCAGCG